UCCGUAGGUGAACUGCGGAAGGAUCAUUA
Molecule: ribosomal RNA, 29 nt
Filed under: Rhizophagus intraradices
Lineage: Eukaryota; Fungi; Glomeromycota; Glomeromycetes; Glomerales; Glomeraceae
Also listed under: 3 other names
Description: partial 18S ribosomal RNA
Source: RNAcentral